ACAAAUUUGAUAUCCUCCACAUCUGCAAUUAAUGAUGAUCAUGAUUACAAAAAGACUACUAACAAAAGAACUAAAUUUCCUACACUAACCUUAUAGCUAUGAAAGUUUAAUUGAGCCCUCCCCCCAAAAAAAACUUUGUAGUAAGAGCGGUUAAAUUAAAUGACCAUAACUUCCUGACAAUUUUUUAAAGCAGUAUUUUUUUUUUCUAAAGCCCACAAAAUUGUGUCUUAACACAGAGAUAGCGUUGAACUCUCUCGAGUGCUUUCCAAGCGUUUUCACGAACUGGUGGCAAUACUUUAUAUAUUUUAUGGUGGUGUUAAUGUUCCAAAGCAGCAUCACUUUUAGAUACAGACUAUCUUAACAUUGACUAACAAAGUAUACUUGUGACCUAACCAUUGAUGUAUAUCCUCUAUAAAAACUGUGAUGACUACUAUCAUAUUGCUCACCACCCCAACGUCAUUGCCACUCAGUACUUACGCCCGGUGUGCACUACCUGGCCAGCCCAUUGCUCCAAAAGAAGCUUAAAAGACUGGCAUUGGCAUCGAGAUUAUUAUGAACGCCACUCCCUGUCAGUGCCCACAGUGGGAAGAUCGUACUGUAUGCCUAUCAGUCAGCUUCAGCCAUCAAUCACCGCUUCCUUAUAUCACACUAGGAUUAAAAUAAAAAGUAAAAAAUGUAAUUAUAUUUAGGAAAGAUGUGUUGCCACAUCAAACUAAAAACAACUCAGAGUGUAGAACAAGUCUUUGAAAACAAGAAAAAAAAAAUGAAAUUAAACAAAUGAACACCAUAAUCUUUUUGUAUCAAUUCCUGAAACAAAAAAAAUUCUAUAAUUUCAAUUUUUCUUUAUUAAGCAAAUAAAAAAACAAAGAAAAAAAGAUUUACCUAAUCCUCGAGAAGCUACAUCAGU
Molecule: non-coding RNA, 907 nt
Organism: Biomphalaria pfeifferi
Lineage: Eukaryota; Metazoa; Mollusca; Gastropoda; Planorbidae
Source: the annotation of a GenBank genome assembly